Long non-coding RNA from Pongo pygmaeus (Bornean orangutan), 212 nucleotides. RefSeq lists it as uncharacterized. Lineage: Eukaryota; Metazoa; Chordata; Mammalia; Primates; Hominidae. The record is from RefSeq and is a predicted model, not a curated record. The transcript has 3 exons.
GGCUAGGAGCAGGAGCCAGAGGGAACCUCUUAGCUGCUGGCAGGAGGCUUGGAAGCCCAGCAGCUUUGAUUACAGAAGAAUGCACUGAUCUAGAGACCAAGGCAUGGAAGUAGGAAUGUCCCCACUUACCAAUGCUCUUGCUGAUCUUUUGGGAGACUUUGUACAACUCUUACCUCUGCAAGGUAUAGCCACCCAGGCAUGAGAAGCUCAUG